GGCGCGAAACCUUUACACUGCACGCAAGUGCGAUAAGGGGACCCCAAGUGCGAGGGCAUAUAGUCCUCGCUUUUCUCGACUGUAAGGCGGUCGAGGAAUAAGAGCUGGGCAAGACCGGUGCCAGCCGCCGCGGUAAUACCGGCAGCUCAAGUGAUGACCGAUAUUAUUGGGCCUAAAGCGUCCGUAGCCGGCCACGAAGGUUCAUCGGGAAAUCCGCCAGCUCAACUGGCGGGCGUCCGGUGAAAACCACAUGGCUUGGGACCGGAAGGCUCGAGGGGUACGUCCGGGGUAGGAGUGAAAUCCCGUAAUCCUGGACGGACCACCGAUGGCGAAAGCACCUCGAGAAGACGGAUCCGACGGUGAGGGACGAAAGCUAGGGUCUCGAACCGGAUUAGAUACCCGGGUAGUCCUAGCUGUAAACGAUGCUCGCUAGGUGUGACACAGGCUACGAGCCUGUGUUGUGCCGUAGGGAAGCCGAGAAGCGAGCCGC
RNAcentral lists this ribosomal RNA (490 nucleotides) under Haloferax volcanii. RNAcentral's name for it is "bacterial SSU rRNA". It matches the Rfam family "Archaeal small subunit ribosomal RNA", at positions 338 to 827 of the family's 1478-position model. The record is from RNAcentral. Lineage: Archaea; Methanobacteriati; Methanobacteriota; Halobacteria; Halobacteriales; Haloferacaceae.